This 2802-nucleotide ribosomal RNA is filed under the name Haemophilus influenzae. Its description in RNAcentral is "partial 23S ribosomal RNA". It matches the Rfam family "Bacterial large subunit ribosomal RNA". The record is from RNAcentral. Lineage: Bacteria; Pseudomonadati; Pseudomonadota; Gammaproteobacteria; Pasteurellales; Pasteurellaceae.
GUUGUAUAGUUAAGUGACUAAGCGUACAAGGUGGAUGCCUUGGCAAUCAGAGGCGAAGAAGGACGUGCUAAUCUGCGAAAAGCUUGGAUGAGUCGAUAAGAGGCGUUUAAUCCAAGAUAUCCGAAUGGGGAAACCCAGUAGAUGAAGAAUCUACUAUCAACAAGUGAAUACAUAGCUUGUUGAGGCAAACCGGGAGAACUGAAACAUCUAAGUACCCCGAGGAAAAGAAAUCAACCGAGAUUUCGUCAGUAGCGGCGAGCGAAAGCGAAAGAGCCAGUAAGUGAUAACAGUAUGGUUAGGAGAAUGUGUUGGGAAGCACAAUCAAAGAGGGUGAUAAUCCCGUAUCUAAAAACCAUAUUGUGGUACUAAGCUAACGAGAAGUAGGGCGGGACACGUGAUAUCCUGUUUGAAGAAGGGGGGACCAUCCUCCAAGGCUAAAUACUCCUGAUUGACCGAUAGUGAACCAGUACUGUGAAGGAAAGGCGAAAAGAACCCCGGUGAGGGGAGUGAAAUAGAACCUGAAACCUUGUACGUACAAGCAGUGGGAGCCCGAAAGGGUGACUGCGUACCUUUUGUAUAAUGGGUCAGCGACUUAUAUUUUGUAGCGAGGUUAACCGAAUAGGGGAGCCGAAGGGAAACCGAGUCUUAACUGGGCGACGAGUUGCAAGGUAUAGACCCGAAACCCGGUGAUCUAGCCAUGGGCAGGUUGAAGGUUGGGUAACACUAACUGGAGGACCGAACCGACUAAUGUUGAAAAAUUAGCGGAUGACUUGUGGCUGGGGGUGAAAGGCCAAUCAAACCGGGAGAUAGCUGGUUCUCCCCGAAAUCUAUUUAGGUAGAGCCUUGAGGUGACACCUUUGGGGGUAGAGCACUGUUUCGGCUAGGGGUCCAUCCCGGAUUACCAACCCGAUGCAAACUACGAAUACCAAAGAGUGAUACUCAGGAGACACACGGCGGGUGCUAACGUCCGUCGUGGAGAGGGAAACAACCCAGACCGCCAGCUAAGGUCCCAAAGUCUAUAUUAAGUGGGAAACGAAGUGGGAAGGCUUAGACAGCUAGGAUGUUGGCUUAGAAGCAGCCAUCAUUUAAAGAAAGCGUAAUAGCUCACUAGUCGAGUCGGCCUGCGCGGAAGAUGUAACGGGGCUGAAAUAUAGCACCGAAGCUGCGGCAUCAGACGAAAGUCUGUUGGGUAGGGGAGCGUUGUGUAAGCGGAUGAAGGUUAAUCGAGAGGUUGGCUGGACGUAUCACAAGUGCGAAUGCUGACAUAAGUAACGAUAAAACGGGUGAAAAACCCGUUCGCCGGAAGACCAAGGGUUCCUGUCCAACGUUAAUCGGGGCAGGGUGAGUCGGCCCCUAAGGCGAGGCUGAAAAGCGUAGUCGAUGGGAAACAGGUUAAUAUUCCUGUACUUGGUAAAGCUGCGAUGUGGGGACGGAGUAGGUUAGGUUAGCGUGCUGUUGGAUAUGCACGUUUAAGUUGGUAGGUGGGAAGUUUAGGCAAAUCCGGACUUCCUUAACACUGAGAGAUGAUGACGAGGCUCUACGGAGCUGAAGUAACUGAUACCACACUUCCAGGAAAAGCCACUAAGCGACAGGCUUUACUAAACCGUACUGAAAACCGACACAGGUGGUCAGGUAGAGAAUACUCAGGCGCUUGAGAGAACUCGGGUGAAGGAACUAGGCAAAAUAGCACCGUAACUUCGGGAGAAGGUGCGCCGGCGUAGAUUGUAAGGGCUAGCCCCUGAAGGUUGAACCGGUCGAAGAUACCAGCUGGCUGCAACUGUUUAUUAAAAACACAGCACUCUGCAAACACGAAAGUGGACGUAUAGGGUGUGAUGCCUGCCCGGUGCUGGAAGGUUAAUUGAUGGUGUAAUCGAAAGAGAAGCACCUGAUCGAAGCCCCAGUAAACGGCGGCCGUAACUAUAACGGUCCUAAGGUAGCGAAAUUCCUUGUCGGGUAAGUUCCGACCUGCACGAAUGGCAUAAUGAUGGCCAGGCUGUCUCCACCCGAGACUCAGUGAAAUUGAAAUCGCCGUGAAGAUGCGGUGUACCCGCGGCUAGACGGAAAGACCCCGUGAACCUUUACUAUAGCUUGACACUGAACAUUGAAUUUUGAUGUGUAGGAUAGGUGGGAGACUUAGAAGUAGGAACGCCAGUUUCUAUGGAGUCAUCCUUGAAAUACCACCCUUUAACGUUUGAUGUUCUAACGAAGAUUACGAAACGUGGUCUCGGACAGUGUCUGGUGGGUAGUUUGACUGGGGCGGUCUCCUCCCAAAGCGUAACGGAGGAGCACGAAGGUUUGCUAAUCACGGUCGGACAUCGUGAGGUUAGUGUAAUGGUAUAAGCAAGCUUAACUGCGAGACAGACAAGUCGAGCAGGUACGAAAGUAGGUCAUAGUGAUCCGGUGGUUCUGAAUGGAAGGGCCAUCGCUCAACGGAUAAAAGGUACUCCGGGGAUAACAGGCUGAUACCGCCCAAGAGUUCAUAUCGACGGCGGUGUUUGGCACCUCGAUGUCGGCUCAUCACAUCCUGGGGCUGAAGUAGGUCCCAAGGGUAUGGCUGUUCGCCAUUUAAAGUGGUACGCGAGCUGGGUUUAGAACGUCGUGAGACAGUUCGGUCCCUAUCUGCCGUGGGCGUUGGAGAAUUGGUUGGGGCUGCUCCUAGUACGAGAGGACCGGAGUGGACGCACCACUGGUGUUCCGGUUGUGUCGCCAGACGCAUUGCCGGGUAGCUAAGUGCGGAAGAGAUAAGUGCUGAAAGCAUCUAAGCACGAAACUUGCCAAGAGAUGAGUUCUCCCUGUCUUUAA